AUACGUAGGUGACAAGCGUUAUCCGGAUUUACUGGGUGUAAAGGGCGUGUAGGCGGUUUAGCAAGUCAGAAGUGAAAUUCCCGGGCUUAACUUGGGCGCUGCUUCUGAAACUGCUUUACUUGAGUGCUGGAGAGGAUAGUGGAAUUCCUAGUGUAGCGGUAAAAUGCACAGAUAUUAGGAGGAACACCGGUGGCGAAGGCGGCUAUCUGGACAGUAACUGACGCUGAGGCGCGAAAGCACGGGGAGCAAACAGGAUUAGAUACCCUGGUAGUCCGUGCCGUAAACGAUGAAUACUAGGUGUAGGGGGUAUCGACUCCCUCUGUGCCGCAGGUAACACAUUAAGUAUUCCACCUGGGGAGUACGGCCGCAAGGUUGAAACUCAAAUGAAUUGACGGGU
Molecule: ribosomal RNA, 397 nt
Filed under: uncultured bacterium
Lineage: Bacteria
Description: partial 16S ribosomal RNA
Rfam family: Bacterial small subunit ribosomal RNA
Source: RNAcentral